RNAcentral lists this ribosomal RNA (253 nucleotides) under uncultured bacterium. RNAcentral describes it as "partial 16S ribosomal RNA". It matches the Rfam family "Bacterial small subunit ribosomal RNA", at positions 524 to 776 of the family's 1533-position model. The record is from RNAcentral.
UACGUAGGGGGCAAGCGUUGUCCGGAAUUACUGGGUGUAAAGGGAGUGUAGGCGGGUAUUUAAGUCAGAUGUGAAACCCAUGAGCUCAACUCAUGGACUGCAUUUGAAACUGGAUAUCUUGAGUGCAGGAGAGGAAAGUGGAAUUCCACGUGUAGCGGUGAAAUGCGUAGAGAUGUGGAGGAACACCAGUGGCGAAGGCGACUUUCUGGACUGUAACUGACGCUGAGGCUCGAAAGUGUGGGGAGCAAACAGG